GCCUUGGUGGUGGAAUUGGUAGACACGCGGGACUUAAAAUCCCGUGGACAUUGCGUUCGUGCGGGUUCAAGUCCCGCCCGAGGUA
This 85-nucleotide transfer RNA is filed under the name Bacteroidales bacterium. Its description in RNAcentral is "tRNA-Leu". It matches the Rfam family "tRNA". From Rfam's summary of the family: Transfer RNA (tRNA) molecules are approximately 80 nucleotides in length. Their secondary structure includes four short double-helical elements and three loops (D, anti-codon, and T loops). Lineage: Bacteria; Pseudomonadati; Bacteroidota; Bacteroidia; Bacteroidales. The record is from RNAcentral.